UUUUUUUUUUUUUUAAGAUGAUGUCUGUAUGUGAUACUUUUCUAGAGUGUUCUCUCUUUUUUUAAAUUAAUUUUUUUGCCUUGCCUGUGGCAUGUGGAAGUUCCCAGGCUAGGGGUCCAAUCUGAGCUGUAGCCACUGGCCUACACCACAGCCACAGCAACGCGGGAUUGGAGGAGCAUCUGCAACCUAUACCACUGCUCACGUCAGUGCCAGAUCCUUAACCCACUGAGUGAAGCCAGGGAUUACACCCGUGUCCCCAUGCAUGCUAGUUUGGUUUGUUAACCACUGAGCCAUGAUGGGAAUUCCUAGUUUUAUGUCUUUAUAUAUGCAUACGCUAAUGACUCUGAAGUUUAUAUUGCCAAUUUAAACUUCUCUUCUCGAGUACCAGACUGAAACUUCUGGCCACCCAAUGUUGUACAGACCUUUCUUCUAACACAUAAUCUUUCUUCCUCAAGAGAAUCAAUCAGAAGCUCCAUCCAGAUACUGCAUAUAACUCACAGUGUAGGAUAUCUACGUAAUUCUUUCCCUCUUAAUUCAGCCCAGUAAUCUGUAAAAUAAUAAACAGCGUAACUAUCACUUUUUUGCCCAACCCAUUGUACAUUAGUGAAUAACAAUAGGAUAAUCAUAAUGACAGCUUCUUUGGAGAAGGAUAGAAUAAGUUCACAGCAGUCAUUGGUCCGUAGUAAUAAUGAGCUCCUUCUGGAAAGAAGACUACCCUGGCAACUGUGAAAAACCCUUGGUUCAACUCUGAUUUUGCUCUUUAUGAGGAAUACCCUUUAGAAUAUUGUGUAUGUCCUUGGCUUUGUUCUUAGGUGAUUCUUUCUUGUUUAUCAUCUUCCUUUGCCACAUCUGAAUUAGCAGGCAUUUGAGAGUAAGACAUCCCUAGGAAUUGUAAAACUUUUGUAGUACCAUAUCAGUUAGUAUUUAGGCUCUGCAGGGUUACUUAAAAAUCAGUUAUAGGGUUUCAUAGGUCAGUAAUGUGGCUAGCUGGUAAAACUCUAUUAAACAUUUAAUACAUUAAAACAUUUUUUUUUAUUUAAGUAUAGCUGAUUUACAAGCUUGUGCUAUUGGUAAUAGUGCUGCAACGAACAUAGGGGUGCAUGUAUCUUUUCAAAUUAUAGUUUUGUCUGGAUAUAUGCCUAUGAGUGGGAUAGCUGGAUCAUAUGGUAGUUCUAUAUGUAGUUUUCUGAGGAACCUCAAUACUGUUUUCCAUAGUGGUUGUACCAAUUUACAUUCCCACCAGUUCCCUUUUCUCUGUACCUUGAAUAUAUUUCUAUUCUGUUUUAACUCAGUACCAUGUGAUAAUUAGUUGCAGCAGAAGAUCUCUUUUAGUGACAUUUUCUUUUUUUUUGAAAUUUACUGUCUCUACUAUUCCUUUUCCUUUCUCUUGUGUAACUUGACUACCUUGAGGGCAUCUGAAAUAACAGCCUUUGGAUAACCUAUCAGCCGGGAUUUAAACAGAAGCAGAACAAGUAGGAGAUUUAUAUAUGAUAGGUAGAUUGAUAAAUAGAUAUGUAUUAAGAGAUUUAUUACAAGGAAUUGGUUUACGUAGUUCCGGGGGCUGGCUAAGCAAGUCUGAAAUUUGUAAGGUAAGCAGUUGGAAAGGUAAGAGCUCAGGCAAGUUGGAACCCAUGGGCAUGUGCUGAAGCUGUUCUCCAUAGGCAAUUAAAAAAGGAAAGUCCAGUGAAGGGAGAACAGUUACAGGCUCAGCUGCUAUUUGGUGUCUCAUUUGUCAGGGAAAAAACCUAAGAGCUCACUGUACUAGGUCUGGCUCACUAAGGAUGGAUCACUGGAGCUUAAAAACGUCAACUGAUUAGGGUCUUUAACUACAUCUGCAAAAUUCCCUAGAUUAGUUUGGAUAACUGAGAGAAAGUAUUUUCAAAAUGCCUGUUGUCCUUCCUUCCUCUUAGUUUACUCCUACCAACUUGACACAUCCAAAACCAUCAGAAGUGGGAAAGCAACACUCUGUACUUGAUCUUUGCAACCAUCUGACAGAAUCGUUGAGGUCAGGUUAACCUUUGUAUUUGAAAUCUGGAAACAGCUACCUUUCCCAAACCUGAGAGAUCCUGGAUUACUUAUAGAGUAGGUUUUGCUACUGAGAGAACUUUUCUCAGUGGCACUAUUUUCAGGUCUGUCUCUGCUUGCUAAUUGCCUUAUUCAUAGUUGAGUUGAUUUUUCUGGUUAUUCUUUAAAUAGCCAUCACACCAAUAUUUUGAGUUUUUCCUAAUUGCUUUUCUUAGAGCUACGUACCUGGUAGGCAUAUGAUGUGCCCUUUUUGUCAUUGCAGCAAGAGUUUUACAAAAAUGGUUUGCUACUGCAUAACAGAGAUUGUUGGCUUUCCAGGCUGAGAUAUGUUUCCUUGCUGCCUGUCUUCUUAGCCUUAUCAGUUUUUAGGAGUUUAUUAUUGCAGCAUUCCAUUCCUAAAUUAUUGUGUUAGUUAAGGUGUGGGAUGGGUUAGACUCAAGCAAGGUAGAUUAUGUGAUACUCUGGUGGUAGUCCUUCAGGUCAUUCAUAGUCUAAAUUUCUACUGUUUUGUUACACCAUCCCUUAACCUGUUCUGUCUCUUAUGGUAGCAGCUGGCCACAUAGGGUUACUGAGCACCUGAAAUGUGGCUAGUAUAACUGAGGGUCUGAAUUUUGAAUUUUAUUUAAUUUUAGUUAAUUUAAAUAAUUAUAUGUGACUAGUGGCUACCAUUAUUGGAGGAGGCAAAUGGAACAUUUCUAUCAUCAUAGAAAGUUUUUUUGAACAAUUCUGCCUUAGAAUGUUGACUUCAUCUACAAGGUGUAAUCUGGCUCACCAGCAUUAUGUCUAUAGUCCAUCCUAUUAUGGGCUAAGUUGUGUUUCCCCAUAAUUUACAUUGAUGCCCUAACCCCCAGUAUCUCAGAAUGUGACGGUUUGUAGAGAUAGGGCCUUCAAAAAGGGUAAUUAAGGUUAAAUCAGGUCAUACAGGUGAGCUCUAAUGCAGUCUGACAAGCUUCCUUAUAAGAAGGAAUGCAUCUGCAAAAGGGAUGUGUGUACACAGAGAAAAGGCCAUGUGAGGACACAGUAAGAAGAUGGCCAUUUGCAAGCCUGAGAGAGAGGCCUUAGAAGAAGCUAUACCUGCUUACACCUUAAUAUUAGGCUUCUAGCCUCAAGGAUCUUGGACUUCUAGCCUCAAGAGCUGUGAGAAAAUAAAUUGCUGUUGUUUAAGCCACCCAGUCUGUGGUGUUUUGUGAGGCAGCUGUAGUGAACAAGUACAUAACCCAUGAGAAAUAAAAACAGAAAGGUGAACACAAAUAGCUUCCUUUUAAGGAAUUAACCAACAAAUUGCAAACAGAACUUCCAGUUAUAUCCUAUUGGUGCAAAGUUAGUUAUAUGUCUAUACCUAGGGCCUAGCUCUUGCUCUGUGGACAUUAUACCCAGAUAUAACUUGGAGAAGUGUUUUACUAAAAAAAAAAAAA
This 3440-nucleotide long non-coding RNA is filed under the name Sus scrofa (pig). Its description in RNAcentral is "lncRNA (ENSSSCG00015076943.1)". The record is from RNAcentral. Lineage: Eukaryota; Metazoa; Chordata; Mammalia; Artiodactyla; Suidae.